Dasypus novemcinctus (nine-banded armadillo) is the source of this 1771-nucleotide long non-coding RNA. NCBI's taxonomy places the organism in Eukaryota, Metazoa, Chordata, Mammalia, Cingulata, Dasypodidae. The record is from Ensembl.
UAAAAAUGUGAAGCAGCCAGUCUGUGCCGGGAAUUGAGGACACCAUAUGCUUGCAUUUCUAGGUCUUCCUAAGAGUUAUAUAACUGCCCCCAAAGCCAGGAGCAGGAGCGGGGCCAGCUGUGGGAAAUGGUUUCCAAAGAGGAAUGCUGAGGAAGGACUGACCUUGAGGAGACAGCCAGUUCACCAGGCCAUGGAAUGUUCCCAGCCUUGGGGCUUAAACAAAAACCGCAUUCAGAGAGAGGCACCAGGAACUGAACCCGGGAUCUCCCACAUGAGAAGCAAGCACUCAACCGCUUGAGCCACAUCCGCUCCCCCUAUAAAACUUUUAUUAAAAUAACUCCCACAUAGAAAAAAGGCAGCAAUGUUCUGGUGGAAAAAGGGGCGAGGGGUUCUCAGCCUCCCUUCUGCCCUGCCUUCUCGCACCCCCCACUCCAGGGUAUCUCCCAGCAGGCUGACUUACUUCUGAGAGCAGUGUGAGAACCCCUGGCUUAGAAGCUACCUGGGUUCCCCAAAGUUCGGGGUCUGAGGCAGUUUUCAUCACAACGGCGUGUUUCACUGGUGCGUGGGGGUAGGUUUGGGCACAGCAAGGGUCUUUGCAAGUAUCUGCAGAGGACUGUGGUAGGCUAAGCAGAGUGGGGGAGCCUCCUUACUGUCCACGCACCUGAGUCAGCGGUGCAAGAUGUCCGAGGAGGACGAAUUCCCUCUAAUCACAACCCUCUAAUCUGGAGAUCAUUAUUUGUUCACUCCAUCGGCUUCAACCCAGUUUCCUUGUUGGUCUGAACAAACUGCUCUCUUGAAAGAUAACUUAUCUACUAAGCAGAGAGAACCUACCAGGGGAAAGUGCCCUCAAGAGGGAGGAGCCGGUGGACGAGACCAGGGUGGGGGGGCACGGACCAUCCCGCCCCUCCCGGUUCCUCCCGAGUCCGUGGGAAACCUUCAGCAGAGCGGGUGGGGGGCAGCGGGGACGGGCGCCGGCGUGUGGGAUUGUGUGGGUUCCUUUUAGCCCCCGCCUCCCCACCCAUCUGCACAGCUCAGAAGUGGGCAGCACAAAGGAGCAGGGGGAUGGACAAAGCGUCUCAGAAACGCACGGGAGCCUGCCCUAUGGUCAUCCGGCAGGCGGUGGCGUUCAGUGCAGCGCCCGAGGUCAGGACGCCCGGUGUUUGCAUGAAGCCGACACCGGCAGUGCCCGCCUCUGAGCAGCAGGGCCAGCUCGCAGCACUCAGGGACGCGUUGCCGGGUGGUGGGGGCUGAGAGCAGGCGGCCCUGCAGUAAAGAGAGCUCUCUCACCUUUUCCUUAAGUGCCUUCUGGCACAUACUAACUUUCUGAAAUGGUGCUAUCUGAUGCUAAAUUAGGAACAAAUUAUAUGGAAGAGAACCACUUUUUAAUGCACAGCAUGUCCUAACGGACUGUGUAGAGAGAUUUCUGCUUCUUAGACAAACCUUGGUCUAGAAACACUUGAGGCUACAGGGAGGGGAUCUCCUGAAAGAGAAAGCAGGACAGCCCGAGGGUCUGGAACAGGGAGAAGCACCUCAGCUUCAGUUUACCGUAUCCCCAUACUCCGAGGGCCUGGAAACCUGUUAGGUGAGGUUCUUCUCCAUCAAGAAGUGAGGCUGGUAAGGCAGCAGUGGAGGUAUGGCCAUGCCACCCAAGGUGGGACAUCGAGAAAUGGGUCAGGCAAACCCAUCUACUAAGAGACAUGAGGGAAGCGGAUGUCGCUCCAGCCCUUGGGUGCCUGCCUACCACACGGGAAGUCCCAGGUUCAGUUCCUGG